GAACCCACAGCUCUGUUGGGCUUUCUUUUCUGGCAAACAUACUUAUAAAACCUCUUCUUGUUAUCCUUAACUUCUUUUGCCAGGUACAGCUCAUUCUUUUUCUUUGACUUCC
Molecule: long non-coding RNA, 112 nt
Organism: Gavialis gangeticus (Gharial)
Lineage: Eukaryota; Metazoa; Chordata; Crocodylia; Gavialidae
Exons: 4
Source: RefSeq, a predicted model, not a curated record